UAGCCAGCUAUUUAAUUGGAGCUCAAGAUGAGAUAUCCGAGGGUACAUUUGUAUGGGAGGACGGGACUUCAUUGACAUACAGUAACUGGGGACCAGGACAGCCUGACAACUAUGUAUCGGCUGAGGAUUGUGUCACCCUUUACCGUCCUUUGGGUCUAUUGAGUCACUAUAAUUAGGCCGAUGUCAACUGUGAUGUGGCCGUAGAGUUUUACAUUUGUGAAGCAAGGUAAGAUUUAUUAUAAACGUUAUACAAAGAGAGCAAAAUAUAACAGGGAUAUUUGAACUCAUAAGUGGAAAAUAAACUUUCAACGGCAGAUCCUGCUUCAAACGUGGCACUCGACGUGUUGCUCAUCUUAUUACACAUCCAGUAAUAAGUAUACUUCAGUAGGUCACAUUCGUGAAAACGGAAUUGUUGUUAAGAUAAUAGGAAUAUAUUCUCUGUCAACUUUGAAAUAUUUCAUAACGAUCAACUUUCAACAAAUUCAUGAUUGUAAUUCGUGACCAUGACGUCAUCAACGUUUUUAAUGCCUUACUCCGGUUCAAAUAAAGUCAACAGUAGUAUAGCGCUGUUUAAAAUUCUUAAUCGAUAGAGAAAAAACAAAUCCGGGUUACUAACUAAAACUGAGGGAAACGUAUCAAAUAUAAAAGAACUAUACGACACAACAGAGACACAACACUGAAAUGUAAAACACACAGAAACGAACUAUAAUGUAACAAUGGCCAUAUUCCUGACUUGGAACAGGCCAUUUUAUGAAAACAUGGUGAAUUGAACCUGGUUUUGUGGCAUGCCAAACCUCCCGCUUUAAUGGCAGUGUUAAUGAUAACAUUAAAAUGACAACAUUACACGACAGGGCUACAAUACGGAAUGGAAUUUAGAAUUAAAUUAUAAGAAAUAACUGUAAUAUUUUAUCAUUUCGUAUUGUAUCCCUGUAGCUUUUCAAAGUACUAGUUUUCAUUGAUAGGGGAUUAAUAAAGGAAUCAAAAGAGCAAAAAAAAUAUGUGCUUAUUUUCGAGAUAUUUAACAAUGAAAUUUUGGCGGGAAAAAUGUUCUCUCUUGCCUUUUCAUAGCUUUUUUAUUGACAAGUUCAACUUCUCAAAAACUAUUAAAAAUUAAUUAAAAUUUUAUAAGACUUUUUACAAAAUUUAUAAAGAGAAAAUGGGGGUCAAUGGGCAAAUUUGAUUAAGGCAUUCAAAUGAAUAAAACCUGAGGAUUCCGAAAAUUUGACAAAAAUUCCAAAACAUGACAAGCGAACAUCAUUAAACGAUCGUCACGAUUUAUUACUAUUUGUGAAUGAUUUUCAUGGCUAUUAAUGUUGAUUGACUUAUCUUCGAGGUUGACAAUAUUGCUUGACCGCUCUAUAAUUAAUUUGCAGUUAGAAUGACUGAUCGACAACGCUUACUCUAUUGGCUGACUUUGCCUAAAUGCUGAUAAACUUUUGACUUUCAUGAUCUUCGAUCCUGACAAUUUGGAUUAACUAUUUUUUUAUGAUAAAACUAUGGCUUGACUGAUCUCCGAUGCUUAUAAUUUUGACUUGGCUAAUUUUCAUUUCUGACUCUUUGAAUUGACUCAUCUUCAAUGCUGAUAUUUUAGCUUUACAAAUCGUUCUGCAGUUCUGAUAAAUUUGGCUUGAGUUAUUUUCAAUGCUUUUUAUUUUAAAACUUAUCCAUGACUAAUCGAUCCUCGAUGAUGAUAUUUUUGAGCUGACUGAUAUCUUGUGCGGAUACCUUUGGCUCGUUUGAUCUGCAUUGUUAUACUUUUUAAUUUCCCAGAUUUCAUUGCAUUUGAUUAAAGCAAAAUUAUUGUCAAAUAAAGAUGUAGGUCCAAUAAGACCCCAAAUGGUCCUACUUCAUAGGUCAAUUUGAUUUGUCAUCAAAAUGACAGCAAAAACAACAAAAAACAUUGGAUAGGUAGAAUAGAACAAGAAACAGUAGCUGAGUCGAUGGGUAUUUUCUUACAUAAUGUUUAUUGAAGUAAUUAACAUAUUUGACUUCGAUGUAGUUGAUUUAUCAAUUCUAUACAAUCACGUGAUAGAAAUCAGAAAGAAUAUUUGCAAAAACUUGGGCCAUUUUACCCAACCUUUAUUAUAUUUUAUUUAACUGUUUUCAAAUUUUUAAAUUUGAUAGAAGCAUUUUGCGAUUUUUUGUAAAUGUUUGUUUGUUUUGAGUUUGUAACCCAGUGAUGACUGAUGCAAACAUAUUUUGACUAUUUUACCUAUAAUGUCCGUUUUGUUCAUGCAUCGUUGUAAACAUAACGGAAUUUGAUGCGACUGUCAUACAAGUGAGAGGUAUAGCGCUUUAAGCGCUUUAAAACCCGGUUAAAUCCACCAUUUUCUACAUUCGAAAAUGCCUGAACCAAGUCAGGAAUAUGCCAGUUGUUGUUCAUUCGUUUGAUGUGUUUUAUCACUUGAUUUCGACAUUUGAUUAGGGACUUUCCGUUUUGAAUUUUCCUCGAAGUUCAGUAUUUUUGUGUUUUUACUUUUUUCAUUAUUUUAAAAUAUUUGAUGUACUGCUUUUGUUAUUUCUUAAGUAAAUGUAAUUGUUUUGAAUCUAAAUAAGAUAAUUACUAAUCGAUUUACGAGAUUUGAAUAUUGGUUAACUACUGUGACCUUGAUUAGUCUUGAAAUAUUUUGGCACUAAUACUAGUAAUAUGACUAUAUAUUUUUCAGUGAUGGAGGCGUUGAUGUCGUCGGGUAAAAAUGACACUUGUUCAGAUGAUUAGCUAAAGAGACG
RNAcentral lists this long non-coding RNA (2730 nucleotides) under Mytilus galloprovincialis (Mediterranean mussel). The record is from RNAcentral. Lineage: Eukaryota; Metazoa; Mollusca; Bivalvia; Mytilida; Mytilidae.